UCCCAAGUGACGGAGUCCCCUAUUCAAGAAAACACUUAAGCAUGUGCAUAAUUUUAAACAUACUUAAGUUGUCCUGAAAUCAGUGAGACCUAAGCAGAUGCAUAAGUGCUUUCUUGAAUCAGGACCCAAGAGAGGAAAGUUGACAUUUUAACACACUGGCCAUUUUGAUUUACUGUAAAAUUUCUUCUGUUUUUUCAAGUCCUUGGAGUCACAACUUGGUAUGAGAACACUGUCUUUCCAUUCCCUAAUCUGUCCCAUCAUACGCUCUGCUGCAAUAUCACAACUGCUCUUCAUCAGCACUGAAGCAGAGAGGUGUGCCUUGAUAGAUAUGCCAAGAAGUACUCCCUGUGAUAUCUUAGUUCCUUGUUCUGCGGAUAUAUUUCAGUACUGCCAUCUCAAGUGCUUAUGCCCAAAUAAAUCUGUUUGUCUCUAAGGUGCCACAAGGACUCCUCGUUGUUUUUGCUGAGACAGACUAACAUGGCUACCACUCUGAAACAUCUCAAAUGCCAUUGAUCUGGCACCUUUUGUUAGCUUGGAUGCACAUUUUGACAGAACAAAUAGCGCUCUGAAUUUAUUUCCUCCAUAGAGGCUAAAGUUUUGUAUCAGUUCUGUUAAGUUUACAGUUUGGAUAUAAUUCAAAACAGUGUUUCAUGGUUACUCCAGUGUGUCAUUGUGAUAUGUCCUGUGCACUUCGGUUUUAGAGCACUGCUCAUUUAUCAGUGAAAAUAUCUUAGACAUUAUGACAAAGCACAGGUUUUCAUCCAUGUCCUCCACUUCACUUGUUUUACAGCUCCAGAGAGGUAACAUGUAUUAUUGACAAAGGGUUAGAUUCUGCUACCCUUACUCACUUUGAAUAGUAUUUUACUUUUAAACUAAUCCUACUCAAGGGCCAGCCCAUGGACCAUCCUUACGCACACCGAUGAGCCGUUAAUUACACUAGUCCCUAAAUUCCUGCCUAACACCUUCAAAAGAUGACUCUGGGAGCUUAAAAUGAUAACUUUGCUAGACACUAAAAAUCAUGGACUCAGUAGAGACUUGGGAUUUAUGGUUUAUUACAACAAUCUGUAACCCGGUAACCACCUUUUCCCCCCCACUGUGACGGCAGAGGUGUUAACUACCCACUUCACCUUGACUGGUACUAACUACUUAUGUUGCACAAUCUAUUCCACCUUGUAUUUAGCUUUGAUAUUCUGAGUCCAUUUCCCAGACCUAAAGAAGAGUUCUAAGUAAGUUCAAAAACUUGUCUCUUUCACCAACAGAAGUUGGCCCAAUAAUAAAGAUAUUAGCUCACUCA
This 1294-nucleotide long non-coding RNA is filed under the name Chrysemys picta bellii (western painted turtle). RNAcentral's name for it is "lncRNA (ENSCPBG00000000614.1)". Lineage: Eukaryota; Metazoa; Chordata; Testudines; Emydidae. The record is from RNAcentral.